This 103-nucleotide microRNA precursor is filed under the name Haemonchus contortus (barber pole worm). RNAcentral describes it as "microRNA hco-mir-45 precursor". Its record names the gene hco-mir-45. The stretch from base 13 to 88 matches the Rfam family "mir-44 microRNA precursor family". Lineage: Eukaryota; Metazoa; Nematoda; Chromadorea; Rhabditida; Trichostrongylidae. The record is from miRBase by way of RNAcentral.
CACCUCAGUCACCAUUGUCCGAUCUGGAUGUUUCUCUGAGUCAUACUCGUUGUGAUAUGACUAGAGACACAUUCAGCUUGGCUACGUGACCAUAUCGUGGCUA